UAAGCUUGCAUCGUCUUCACUAGUGAUUUCUGUUUGAUCCCGCCGGAGGCUGCUGCUAUUGGGAUUCGAUUAAGCCAUGCGAGUUGAAUGAAUUUAGAUUCAUGGCGUACGGCUCAGUAACACGUGGAUAACUUACCCUUAGGACUGGGAUAACUCUGGGAAACUGGGGAUAAUACCGGAUAUUAGGCUAUGGCUGGAAUGCUUUGCCUUUGAAAUGUUUCUUGUAUUCGCCUAAGGAUAGAUCUGCGGCUGAUUAGGUCGUUGGUGGGGUAAUGGCCCACCAAGCCUAUGAUCGGUACGGGUUGUGAGAGCAAGAGCCCGGAGAUGGAACCUGAGACAAGGUUCCAGACCCUACGGGGUGCAGCAGGCGCGAAACCUCCGCAAUGUACGAAAGUGCGACGGGGGGAUCCCAAGUGUUAUUCUUAAUAGGAUAACUUUUCAUUAGUGUAAAAAGCUUUUAGAAAUAGAGCUGGGGCAGACCGGUGCCAGCCGCCGCGGUAACACCGGCAGCUCAAGUGGUAGCUGUUUUUAUGGGGCCUAAAGCGUCGUAGCCGGUUNNGAUAGUCUUUNGUGAAAGCUAUGGCUUAACUGUAGAAUGCUGA
Molecule: ribosomal RNA, 602 nt
Filed under: uncultured rumen archaeon
Lineage: Archaea
Description: bacterial SSU rRNA
Rfam family: Archaeal small subunit ribosomal RNA
Source: RNAcentral